Molecule: long non-coding RNA, 2215 nt
Organism: Equus quagga
Lineage: Eukaryota; Metazoa; Chordata; Mammalia; Perissodactyla; Equidae
Exons: 4
Source: RefSeq, a predicted model, not a curated record
ACGCUGCCUCAGCGUGGUUUGACGAGCAGUGCCAUGUCCACGCCCAGGAUUUGAACCAACGAAACACUGGGCCGCCUGCAGCGGAGCGCGCGAACUUAACCACUCGGCCACGGGGCCAGCCCCAUCUGAGGAUAUUGUUUUUGAGAGGAGCUAAAAUGGAUUCUGUGUUUGCAACCAAGAAAUCUGACAAAUACAGGAAGGAUGGUUAAGUAAGCAGAGGAAAAAGGUAUGUAUGAAAUAAUGCACUCUUGAGGACCAGAAGCCCUAGGCUGGAGACCACAUGACCUAUUAAACAGAUUCUCUCUUCCCGCCACCAACAGGAAUGCAGCAGCUUCAGCCUAGUCAAGCUGGCUUGUGAUCUAUUUGAAAGGAACACAUUGCAUCUCAGAAAUUUUUGUAAAAGCCUUCUUGCAUCCUACUGGUCCAAACUAAAUGAUAUACUCCUACCUGAACCAAUAGCUUAGGACUUGGGGAAUGUGAUGAUCUAAUUGGCCAAUUCUGAACCACAUGACCACGUCUGGAGCCAAUCAACACCCCUCACUCACAUGGACUGGGAAUGGGGCGGGGUGGUUUACACAUAUAAAAGGAGAGGUUAAAAGAACCACAGGUACCCACCAUGGGAAGUUACUGCCAGAGGGUAUUUAUGGUGUUUUAAAGAAUCUAAGUGAGACACAACUCAAAAAAAAUCAUGCUUAAAAGUGCUGCAAACACUCCAAGUUCCACUUCUUAUUUCUGGCUGGGAGGAGCCUUAUUCUAGGGGCUUCUUGGAGUUACUGGUCAUGAGGGUGACUUGAAUCCUGCUCCCUGAACAGACCUUCCACAUCUUAUGACUCCUAACUUUCUCCAGAGCUCCCACAUUUGUUCCUUUCUUUGAUCUAAAUUUUACAACAUUCUUAUGAGUCAGAGAAGUUAAGUAACGUGCUUCAAGUCACACAGCCAACCCAGAUUUCCUGCCUCCUGGCUUAUAAACAGAGCAGUGGGUCCAACCACUCUGAUCCUGGGGUGCUAACAAGAGAUACUAUGGGAAAGUUAGGGGAAGGGAGAAGCAGGGGUACAGGCGUUUAAGCAUGAAGGAUUAUGGAGGCAGAAGAUAAAGGAGACACAUUGGUCUCUGUGCGCACAAGCUCAGCGUCUAGUGUGGACACAGACGGCAGAGCAGACUCUGAUCGUUCCCUGUGCUUAUGACACAGGUAAGCCCAGAGCCCCCUGGGAGAGCCCGCUGAUUUUGAUGGCAACAGUGUUCUUCAAGAGAAGACAGGAUUGAGCAAGUCUGCCUCUUUAAGGAUCACAUAACCCCCAUUUUAAUUAUUAACUUGCUGCAUUAUUAACUGACCAGCUGUGUGUGGCAGAAAACCAAGGGUCAGAACUCCACAGCAACGAUUCAUUCCUGGGGGAGCCUCCAGGUCAGUGGUCCUGAAACCUUCUUAGGGCACGUCAAGAACCUGAUGGAUGACAGCGACCUUCCUUCGAGAAAAAUCCACGAUUCAUCUGCAGUCUCAGGAUUCAGCGAAGAUUAUGGCUCUAGAUAUUUCCUCCAAUGUCCUGAGGGGCUACUCACUUCAGGCCUAAAGUCGUCCCAGGUCCCCACAUCUUUGCUGAUCUCCUUCUGCAUAAUCACCCAGCUUGGGGAAAGGAGGAGGAGGAAGAGGUUAGGAGGUGGGACUUGACAGCACAGACCUAAAUUAUUUGGGGAAGAGAGGACGACUAAGUUCUCUUCGCUGAAUUGCCUUUCUCAAGGCGCCGGCCAAACAAAGCUCGAAGUGGGUAUUUCCAAGAAUGAAUGUGCCCACGUGCUGUGUUCAUUCAUUCCCAAACUUUAGUCACGUGGCUAUCACCUUCAAGGCUUUUGCUUCAUUCCACCUGCACUGUUACAAUUUUUCUUUAAAACAAUACACUUGAACUUUAAUUUGUUUUAAAAGGAAACUUUCUAUCAGUACCAUAAUGGAGACCCACAAAUACUAUUUGAAUAAAAAAAAAAUGAAACCCUUUAAUAACGUUUAAAACAAUGUUAUUAAAUCCUAGCUAGGCUUGAUAACUGUUCUUAACUCUGAGCCCAGAAGUGUUCUUUCUGUUAGAAAAAGCGGAGGUGGUGAUGGUAGGAUGGGUGGGGAGGGGAACAGCAGUCUAAGAGAGAUGUUAGAGAGACAGUAACAACCAAGUACCCUGGAUGUUAUCAGAGAGAUUGAAAUGAUUGCAAAGGCAAUAACUUUCUCAC